Long non-coding RNA from Populus trichocarpa (black cottonwood), 981 nucleotides. RefSeq lists it as uncharacterized. The transcript is spliced from 2 exons. The record is from RefSeq and is a predicted model, not a curated record. Lineage: Eukaryota; Viridiplantae; Streptophyta; Magnoliopsida; Malpighiales; Salicaceae.
ACAGUCGUGUUCGUCUUCUCCAUCCCGAUUCAACAGGCUGAAGAUCCAAUCGUGGACCACGUCUCUCGCCCACGAUCUCGUCGGGGAAGAUAACAGUCCUGCAAAGACAGGACUGGUUAGAGAAAGUGGCUGGGGAGUCUAUAAAAGAAGGAAAAAAUUAACCCAAAGGGAAAGAGAAAACAGAGCAAAAAAAAACCAGAGCAAAGAAAUAAUACACAGAGAGAAGGAGAGGAAAGAAAUCCAGCAUACAUAGAGAAUUGUCAUCGCCAUUACCUUCAUCUCUGCAGACAUCCCUGCACAAAAAAAAACACACCCAAGACAAUAACAGAAAGCCGGCACCUUCAUCAUCAUCUCAGGAGCAGCUGAAAGAAUAAAGCAUACGGACAGGCAGAAGCAGAGAGGAGACGAACGAACAGGAGGAGGAAGGAGAAAAUAGACAAAGAUUAUACAGGGCGUGAACGAACAGAAACAAACCAAAAAAUCAAAAAGAGAAGAGAACAUCCAGCCACCACGCCUUCGUCAUCGUCUUCGUUCCUACGCGUCCAGGUCCUUCAAAGGCAAUCAAUAUAUCUGAAAAACUAACCGGGACUCCCCACUGUAGCUGUCUUUGAUGCCCAAGAUCUUUAUGGUGCUCCUAGUGCAGAGAUUAAUGAGGUAGCAUGGACUAUCCUGUAUGAGGUAUAUUUUACAGGACAAUAUCUUACAGGUCAUAAUUGAUAUGGAAAGAUUCAAGCGAGAUAGUCAAGAGUUCUUGUACGAGGGACAGCAUCAUCUGAUGUCAUGAGAACAUGUGGCUUAAAGACUACGUAUAAGAUUGUUCUUCAUGAUGUCAAUUGAGAUGUGCGUUAUGAAAUAUAUGGAACAUAAAUCAUCCAAAUAAUAAUAAGCAAGAUCUGAAACUCUCUGCUCAUACAAUUUAUUUGUUUUAAGCUGGGGUGUCUGUAUAACCAAUUUAUUUCAUAUGAAUUUUUCUAUCAUAAA